CCUACGGGAGGCAGCAGUGAGGAAUAUUGGUCAAUGGGAGAGAGCCUGAACCAGCCAAGCCGCGUGAGGGAAGACGGCCCUAUGGGUUGUAAACCUCUUUUGUCGGAGAACAAAACCCGGGACGUGUCCCGGACUGCGUGUAUCCGAAGAAAAAGCAUCGGCUAACUCCGUGCCAGCAGCCGCGGUAAUACGGAGGAUGCGAGCGUUAUACGGGUUUAUUGGGUUUAAGGGGUGCGUAGGCGGUCCGUUAAGUCAGCGGUAAAAUUUCGGGGCUCAACCCCGUCGAGCCGUUGAAACUGGCAGACUUGAGUUGGCGAGAAGUACGCGGAAUGCGCGGUGUAGCGGUGAAAUGCAUAGAUAUCGCGAAGAACUCCGAUUGCGAAGGCAGCGUACCGGCGCCAGACUGACGCUGAGGCACGAAAGCGUGGGGAUCGAACAGGAUUAGAUACCCCGGUAGUC
Molecule: ribosomal RNA, 459 nt
Filed under: uncultured bacterium
Lineage: Bacteria
Description: partial 16S ribosomal RNA
Rfam family: Bacterial small subunit ribosomal RNA
Source: RNAcentral